AGAGUUUGUUAUGGCUCAGGACGAACGCUGGCCGCGUGCCUAAUACAUGCAGUCGAACGAAGCUUUCUUUCACCGAAUGCUUGCAUUCACCGAAAGAAGCUUAGUGGCGAACGGGUGAGUAACACGUAGGCAACCUGCCCAAAAGAGGGGGAUAACACUUGGAAACAGGUGCUAAUACCGCAUAACCAUGGACACCGCAUGAUGUUCAUGUAAAAGACGGCUUUUGCUGUCACUUUUGGAUGGGCCUGCGGCGUAUUAACUUGUUGGUGGGGUAACGGCCUACCAAGGUGAUGAUACGUAGCCGAACUGAGAGGUUGAUCGGCCACAUUGGGACUGAGACACGGCCCAAACUCCUACGGGAGGCAGCAGUAGGGAAUCUUCCACAAUGGACGAAAGUCUGAUGGAGCAACGCCGCGUGAAUGAAGAAGGCCUUCGGGUCGUAAAAUUCUGUUGUCAGAGAAGAACGUGCGUGAGAGUAACUGUUCACGUAUUGACGGUAUCUGACCAGAAAGCCACGGCUAACUACGUGCCAGCAGCCGCGGUAAUACGUAGGUGGCAAGCGUUGUCCGGAUUUAUUGGGCGUAAAGGGAACGCAGGCGGUCUUUUAAGUCUGAUGUGAACGCCUUCGGCUUAACCGAAGUAGUGCAUUGGAAACUGGAAGACUUGAGUGCAGAAGAGGAGAGUGGAACUCCAUGUGUAGCGGUG
RNAcentral lists this ribosomal RNA (705 nucleotides) under uncultured Lactobacillus sp. Its description in RNAcentral is "bacterial SSU rRNA". It matches the Rfam family "Bacterial small subunit ribosomal RNA", at positions 8 to 683 of the family's 1533-position model. The record is from RNAcentral. Lineage: Bacteria; Bacillati; Bacillota; Bacilli; Lactobacillales; Lactobacillaceae.